UGGGCACAGUUUGCUCAAGGAAGGGCACUUUUUCUCUUCUGACCACUCUGCCAAGGCAGCUUGAGACGUCUGGGCUGGGCGGGAAGUGAACAGGGCGAGGCCCCUAAGCUCCCUCCGCCGCCUUGAUAAGUGGUGACUCACGGGCCUCAGAGCUGGACUUUGAAGUUGGGCUCUGUUUGUCUUUGCUACCAAAUGCGAGGAAGCAUGGGCGAUGCCCCGCCACUGGUGGUGGUUGCUUGGUGCCAACUCAUCUAGAGAGGUGGCUCGGAGGGUUUCACCAGCUGUUUCUCUCUGACCCCCCAGAAAUGCCGUCUGUGUUCAGGAAACACAGGGCACACCUCCUCUGGGGGAGCUGUGUUCCUGUCAGGGCCACUCAGGCCAGUGGCCAGGGGAUGAGCUUGUAGCUGCCAGGCAGACUGUGGCGCCCCCUGGAGGGACAGAUCAGCCGGGUGCCUGCUCCCCGUUUCAGGGAGGAAGCCUGAGGUGCAGGUGGUUCCGGGACAUGCUGCCACCUUCAGGAUCUCCUGUCUUCCCCAGUGGAUGACCCAGGGUGGGGCAAGGGUGGCUCCUGUAGGGUGCAGGUCCCCAGAAGGGCUGUGUGUGCCGGCAGCACCUGCUGCAGCUCCCCAGGGUGUGCCUCACAGGGCUGAGGGGCAGUUUCUCUCCACUGUCUCCCUGAGGAGUCAGAACCUGCAGGCACCUCUGCUGUGGCCUGCCUCUGGCUGAGGCAGGAGGAGCACAAGUUCAAGGCCAGCCCAACACUAAGAGAGACCGCAGCAGCUUAGCAAGACCCCCGAAUCAAAUGUCA
RNAcentral lists this long non-coding RNA (808 nucleotides) under Marmota monax (woodchuck). Lineage: Eukaryota; Metazoa; Chordata; Mammalia; Rodentia; Sciuridae. The record is from RNAcentral.